GCCUGCCGGGGCGCGAUGCCCCGGAUGAACGACACACCACCGUGCCACGGGAAGAAAAGGGCACAUCAGGGCGUU
RNAcentral lists this small RNA (75 nucleotides) under Streptomyces sparsogenes DSM 40356. RNAcentral describes it as "nrdJ RNA". It matches the Rfam family "nrdJ RNA". Lineage: Bacteria; Bacillati; Actinomycetota; Actinomycetes; Kitasatosporales; Streptomycetaceae. The record is from Rfam by way of RNAcentral.